AUGGCGACGGAUGUUCCAGCAAUUUUGGGAAGAGAGUCCAGCCCAAAAGUAAGAAUGGUGAAAAGGCUAUUUAGCAUGGAAAAAGCAGAAGACAUUUUAAGGCAACAUGGACAUCUCUUCACAGGACUUGGAUGCUUGCCAGGUGAACAUACCAUAAACCUUGUUCCUGACGUAAAACCAGUGGUACAUGGAACAAGAAAAAUUCCUGUAGCUAUAAGGAACAGGGUCAUUGAACAGCUACACAGGAUGGAACCGGCUGAUGUGAUCACAAGACAGUUUGAGCCAACUCCUUGGGUGAACAGCAUGGUGACAGUUGUGACAGAGAAGAAGAUUAGGAUUUGCAUGGAUCCCAAAGAUCUCAACAUUGCAAUACGAAGAGAACAUUAUCCACUUCUUACAGUGGAAGAGGUAGUGUCAUGCAUGCCUGAUGCAAAACUCUUCUCUGUGCUAGACGCAAACCAAGGCUUUUAUCAAAUAAAACUGGAUGAUGAAAGUUCUAAACUCUGUACCUUCAAUACUCCAACUGGAAGAUACAGAUUCAAGCGUCUUCCUUUUGGCAUAUCAUCAGCAAGUGAAGUAUUCCAGAGAGCAGUGGCCCAAAUGAUAGAAGGGUUGGAUGGUGUUGUCAACAUCAUUGAUGAUCUGUUGGUUUGGGGAAACACGAUGGAGCAACACAAUGAGAGAUUACAAAAGUUGCUUCAAAGAGCUGACGAACAUGGACUAAGGUUCAAUAAAUCCAAGUGCAAGUUCAGGACGGCGGAAGUCAAAUACAUCGGACACACUGUAAGUGCAGCAGGUCUGAGGCCAGAUGACGAAAAGAUCCGAGCCAUAAUCCAAAUGCCGCCACCUACGGAAAAACAAUCACUGAUGCGGUUUAUGAGAAUGGUCCAAUAUCUGUCCAAGUUCACACCCAAUCUAGCUGAAGUCUCUGCACCAAUCAGGAAGCUGUUGCAAGCUCUAAAAACAAUGUCAAUGCGAGGCUGGCCAAGGGACAGAUCUGCUGUGCCAGAGUGCAUUAAACCCUUUUGGAUGUUCAGGGAAGAGAUCAGUUUCUCUUCAGGUCUAAUGUUCAAAGCAGAUAAGAUCAUAGUCCCACAGCAGCUGAGAUCAGAGAUGCUGAAAAAGAUACAUGGGUCAUAUCUGGAGUGGUCAAAUGCAAAGAACGAGCAAGAGAUGUGUUGUACUGGCCAGGAAUGUCUUCUCAAAUAG
Molecule: long non-coding RNA, 1209 nt
Filed under: Nothobranchius furzeri (turquoise killifish)
Lineage: Eukaryota; Metazoa; Chordata; Actinopteri; Cyprinodontiformes; Nothobranchiidae
Description: lncRNA (ENSNFUG00015005003.1)
Source: RNAcentral